This is a long non-coding RNA of Tripterygium wilfordii, 2266 nucleotides long. RefSeq lists it as uncharacterized. The transcript is spliced from 12 exons. Lineage: Eukaryota; Viridiplantae; Streptophyta; Magnoliopsida; Celastrales; Celastraceae. The record is from RefSeq and is a predicted model, not a curated record.
AGAAGAUCAGGUAAUUGCAAAACAAGGAAUCAGAGAAAAUGGCCUAUGGGAUAAUGAGGCGAAAUAAAAGGAAACAAGUCGAAACCAACAACUGGAAGGUACGUGCGACUUGGGAUGCGUGCUUUUGUCGUUCUCCCCUUUCUCCUUUGGUGUUGGCUAGACAAUGCGGCAUAGUUUUCGGUUAGUUUCAGAGAAACUGCGUUGUCCUCGGAUGAGAUUCAGAGCAUGUGUAAGACAAAAGAUGAGCAAGACAAAUUUCUUUUGCUUUUGCGUGCGGCACGCCAGUUUUUCGGUUCAUACAUCUCUCAGUUUUGGCUUCGAUUCAGUUCGGAUCUUGCUCUUUGUGCUUCGUUGUUGAUUCAUGCUCAACUAUCUGCGAUCCUCUGGGACUAACAUCACAGAAUCAAAGUAUGGCUAGCCAUUCAUCUUUACCCGAUUUCAUCAAUUUGGAGAGGGGACGACAACAAUUACCCGUCAGAUUUGGGGAGAGAGAGAAGGAAGAAAGGAAGAUAACAUGCAUGAGAGACGAUCAAGCUGAGAGGAAGAAUUAAAGCACUGAAGAAAUUUACCAUCAAUUACAUCAAGAGCAGAUGCAUGAACCACAGAGCUCAAUGAAACGAAGGGAAGCCAACGAUAUAAUUCAACUAUUUUCCGGGUUAAUAGCAAUCGAGCUUGAGCGGCUCUUGGUUUUUGUUGCUUUGGAAGCUCUCUUUGUGGACUCCAAUUUGGGGGUUUAGGGUUUCUGAUCUGAACAAACACUACAGGCAGGCAUUCAUGGGAAGUAGUUCAAUUCAGAUUCGCAAAUUCAACCAGCAGGAGUUCUCGGAUGCAAUCACGGGAAAAAGAGAGAUGAUCAUAGUCAGAGUCAAGAAGAAGUGGCUCUCUUCUAUUUGCAUCUCCGUUGACAUCUUCAAGGGUCCAUUCAAUUACAUGUUGAUCUUAUGCUCUCUACCUUAUUUUUUCGAAUUUCAAUUGAUGCGUGCAGGAGUUUGCGAAGUAACAAAGCAUUUUCCAACUACCAUUAUCAGUGGUAGGAGCAUAGACAAGGUGAAAAAGUUUGUAAAGUUGAAUAAUGAAUAUUAUGCUGGAACAUAAUGUCACCACCAAGCCCUGUGAAGGCCAGUGAUGGGAAGCAGCACAAUAUAAGAAGGGAAAUGAAGUCCUUUUUCAACCUGCCAAGAAAUUUUUGCCUGCAAUUUGAAAGACUCACAGAAUUGGAGGAUGAUAACAGGAGCAAGGUAGAAGAUAACAAAACAAAUUUUGCGUUUCUAUGCACUUUCAACCAGUCAAAGAACAGGAUUUCAAACCACUAGAAGAGAAGGUCAAGUUUAUAUUUGAAGACUACCCGGAAUCCCACUUGAGUUGGGGCACAAAGUUAUAGAAAAAUCUUAAAAGAUCUCUAAACAUUCACCAUAUUAUAAGACCUGUGAUACAAUGGGAUAAAGGUCAUGCCCUGGAAUAUUUUCUGGAGACUCUCGGGCUUAAUAAUGCCAGCGAUGUUCUUCCAAUGUACAUUUGAGGUGACAGAACAAUUGAAGAUGCUUUCAAGAAACAGGAAGAAGAAAGAAGAUCUUGGAGAAAACUACAGAUUGGAGUUGGGUUAGGACUAAUUUCCUGGGUUAGGACAAGGAUUACUAAUGCAAUUGAAGUUAUUUUGUUGCCUAAUUUAAUAGGCAUUGGUGGCAAGAUUGAAAAAUAGAAGCGUAUGAUGUAUGCAUAAUAUAUUUAUCCAUCCUCUAUUUUUUUUUCCAUUAAAAAUAGAAGGGAAGGGCAGACAUGCAGCACAAUUCCACACCACUGCGGACCCCAUACUCACAGCAUCAUUUACAAUCCUGGCACUAAGCAGCUCAUCUCAAGAGAGUCUGAUAUGCUCCACGCUCAGGUUUGCCCAUACUAUCCAUCUGUUUCUCUAAUUUUAUAGAUUCCCGCCUAUAACAGUACAUGCCAAUAUGUACUGAGGAAAUUGCCAAUAUGUGUAAUCGUUGCUAGUAAGUUGCUACUUUUUUAGUUUUUUUAAGUUACUUUCCAAUUAUUUUUGAACUGUCGUUCUGUUAUCUUAUAUUAUGAUUUUGGGAGAAUUUUUUUUUUUUUUAACACUUUCACAAUGUGCAUACGGAUGUUUUUUUUAAAAAAAAGUAAACUUGAAAGAGAAUUAAUAUAUAGUAUAGAUUCAUUUUAAAAUUUUUAUAAUGUAAGAUAAUUUUGGUGGCGGUGUUCUACCCAUUUGAUUAAAAUGGCCUGUGUCGUCAGAUGGGCCGCAGGCCUA